CCCAGGUAAACUGGCAGCCCACUGGAUAAGCAGGUCAGCUUAUCCAGAAAGAGCAAUGAGAAGAGAAUGUGGGUGCUGACUCUACUCACCAUCCGACUGGGGCUCAGCCUAGUGCUUUCAAAAUGAUGAGCCUUAAGAAAACCAUCCUACCCAGAACGGACUGGCAGCGGCUGAGGCAAAGAGGAGGGGAAAAGGGUGACUAUUUGUUACCUCUCAUCUGACAUCAUUAACAGGAAUAAUGACAUCAUGGUACUUUAUAUUUAAAGAGUUUAUUCACAGAAGGGUCUUAGCUGUCCUCAC
This is a non-coding RNA of Marmota flaviventris (yellow-bellied marmot), 300 nucleotides long. NCBI's taxonomy places the organism in Eukaryota, Metazoa, Chordata, Mammalia, Rodentia, Sciuridae. The record is from RefSeq and is a predicted model, not a curated record.